GGUCAUUUAGAGGAAGUAAAAGUCGUAACAAGGUUUCCGUAGGUGAACCUGCGGAAGGAUCAUUACAGAGUUCAUGCCCGAAAGGGUAGACCUCCCACCCUUGUGUAUUAUUACUUUGUUGCUUUGGCGAGCUGCCUUCGGGCCUUGUAUGCUCGCCAGAGAAUACCAAAACUCUUUUUAUUAAUGUCGUCUGAGUACUAUAUAAUAGUUAAAACUUUCAACAACGGAUCUCUUGGUUCUGGCAUCGAUGAAGAACGCAGCGAAAUGCGAUAAGUAAUGUGAAUUGCAGAAUUCAGUGAAUCAUCGAAUCUUUGAACGCACAUUGCGCCCCUUGGUAUUCCGGGGGGCAUGCCUGUUCGAGCGUCAUUUCAACCCUCAAGCUUAGCUUGGUAUUGAGUCUAUGUCAGUAAUGGCAGGCUCUAAAAUCAGUGGCGGCGCCGCUGGGUCCUGAACGUAGUAAUAUCUCUCGUUACAGGUUCUCGGUGUGCUUCUGCCAAAACCCAAAUUUUUCUAUGGUUGACCUCGGAUCAGGUAGGGAUACCCGCUGAACUUAAGCAUAUCAAUAAGCGGAGGAAAAGAAACCAACAGGGAUUGCCCCAGUAACGGCG
This 608-nucleotide ribosomal RNA is filed under the name uncultured fungus. Its description in RNAcentral is "eukaryotic LSU rRNA". The stretch from base 213 to 366 matches the Rfam family "5.8S ribosomal RNA". The record is from RNAcentral. Lineage: Eukaryota; Fungi.